AAUAAUGAAGAACCGAACCGAAACUGUACCGAAAUUCUAGUUCAGUUCUGGUUCCUAGCCAAAUCCCGAACUGAACCGAAACCGAACAGCCCUAAUUCCCAUCAUACCUAAACUUUUUGAAACCCUAUCUAAACAGAAGCAACUUCAUAAGAAUAAAGAUAAUAAUAAAACUGUUUGAAAAAAGACAUGAUAGUUCAUUAAAUAUACAAUCGGACAUCUUUCAUUAGAAUUUAAAACAAAAAAAAUAAUAAUAAUUAGAUGGUUGGGUAUAUGGCACUUCACUUCAACAUGUCGGGGUGUGUACGUGUCAAUCAAGGUAACCCUAGCAACACACAUUUAUAUAAUUAUGUCAAGGCUUAUAAGGUCCUCGUAUUUUGUUUGGUAAGUUAUGUUAAUUAAAACUAGGAGUUAGGACGGUAGGAAGCCAAAUGUGGAAACAAAAAAUUGUGAAAUAGAACCUGUCAAUGUAUUGCAGAAUUAACCAAAAGAAAACAAAAUUGCAAGCAAGAGUCCUAAACCAAUAUACUAUUCCCUGUUAACACCAUCCAUACCAAACCAAUUACACAUGUCUAAAUGAACCUGGGCUAUUGGGGAGUACAGCUGUAAAUGAGCCAAGCUACUCAUAAGCUAUUCGAGUCUCAGCUUAAUAAAAGCUCAAUUCAAUAUAGUUCGUUUUAUAAACGAACCAAGCUUGAGCUCACUAGUAUUCGGCUCGUUAAAGCACACAAGCCGGGCCAGCUCAUUUGCAAGCACACGAGCUGACUCGUGAACAGGCUCAUUAAACAAGCUUAUGAGAUAGCUCUUAAAUAGACUCAUGAGUGAGCUUGUUAAAUAGGCUUAUGAGCUUGCUCGUUUACAAGUUCAUUUAUACUAAUUAUUGUAUUUUCUAAUAUUGUAAAUACAAUAAUUUCA
Molecule: unclassified non-coding RNA, 912 nt
Filed under: Hevea brasiliensis (rubber tree)
Lineage: Eukaryota; Viridiplantae; Streptophyta; Magnoliopsida; Malpighiales; Euphorbiaceae
Source: RNAcentral